Molecule: ribosomal RNA, 253 nt
Filed under: uncultured bacterium
Lineage: Bacteria
Description: partial 16S ribosomal RNA
Rfam family: Bacterial small subunit ribosomal RNA
Source: RNAcentral
UACGAGGGGGGCAAGCGUUGUUCGGAUUUAUUGGGCGUAAAGAGCGUGUAGGCGGCCUGGAAGGUCAGCUGUGAAAACUCGAGGCUCAACCUCGAGACGUCGGUUGAAACCACCUGGCUAGAGUCCGGAAGAGGAGAGUGGAAUUCCCGGUGUAGCGGUGAAAUGCGCAGAUAUCGGGAAGAACACCCGUGGCGAAGGCGGCUCUCUGGGACGGUACUGACACUGAGACGCGAAAGCGUGGGGAGCGAACAGG